GGGAAAGUGGUCACCAUUCGUACGCGGGGCACAUUCGUACAAUUGGUAUAACAGAAAAACUAAACGGCACACAAACACAUCUUUGCUUAUGUGCAUAGACAUAUCGACCACCAUGUUGCUAGCGGAGUGUCGCGCCAGUGGCACCAUGGUGUUUCAGCUGAUAAGAUAUGACGUGUUUUUGCGGGCUAAUCAUGGUGCGAAAAUAUAAAAAAAAAGGUACGCGCACUCAAGAAGUGGAUGAAAAGUCCAUGAAUCUAGCAAUUGAUGGUGUAAUACAAAGACGGUUGUCGUAUAAUCCUCAAGACAUUAUUACCGGAACUGGUGAAUCUUCCACCUCUGCCGCCGAGCCACAAUCUGUACCGAGUUCUUAUCUUCCCAUAACACCAGAGGUCAUAAGACAUCUGGUUCAAUAAAAAAAAAGAAAGCUAAGAAAAUAGAAAGCGUCGAAGAUUCAGAGGAAUCUAAAGGAUCACAAUUUAGCUUGCGGGAGAGUUCAACAUCUCCAGUUGAUUUAAAAAUGGACGAAGAGACUGAUGAUCAUAGUAUCAAUAAUAAUUCAAUUAUGAUACCAGAGAAAAUCAAAGAUAAUUGUUAUAUUUUGGGAAAAUUAAAAAAAAAAGACUUCUGUUGUUCAUUACGUCGGAAAAGUUCUCAGUUAUUAUUCCGGUAUAGAGAUGAAUAUAUCUUAUCUGUGUAUCAGAGAUGUCGCCAUGAUCUUUCCUGAUCCUCAACCACGAACGGGCUGUGCAGUUAGAAUGACUAGACUUUAUACAUUUGCAGUCGAUUUGAAUAAUUAUAAUGUGCAAUAAGUUUCAAAGAAACAACCAAAUGUAUGAUUACCUAUUUUAAGUUUGAAUUGUCAAAGACUCUGUAACGAUGUCAUACAAAAUGAUUGCAAACAUCUCAUUUAGACUGAUUGUAAAGCUUAGUAAAGUAAACUAAGGAUGAACGAUUUUAUUUUUUGUUAUUUUUUUAAGAAAGUUUUAUCGACUAUAGUCAAGUCACAUAUUUUUAAGUUAGUUCAUUGUUAAAUAAAUAUUUUUAUAAUUAUUAAAAAAAAAAUCAACGACUUCAA
Molecule: long non-coding RNA, 1075 nt
Organism: Leptinotarsa decemlineata (Colorado potato beetle)
Lineage: Eukaryota; Metazoa; Arthropoda; Insecta; Coleoptera; Chrysomelidae
Source: RefSeq, a predicted model, not a curated record